UGGGGGAUAUUGCACAAUGGAGGAAACUCUGAUGCAGCAACGCCGCGUGAGGGAAGAAGGUUUUCGGAUUGUAAACCUCUGUUUUUAGUGAAGAAAGAAAUGACGGUAGCUAAAGAGGAAGCCACGGCUAACUACGUGCCAGCAGCCGCGGUAAUACGUAGGUGGCAAGCGUUGUCCGGAUUUACUGGGUGUAAAGGGUGCGCAGGCGGGACUGCAAGUUGGAUGUGAAAUACCGAGGCUUAACCACGGAGCUGCAUCCAAAACUGUGGUUCUUGAGUGGAGUAGAGGUAAGCGGAAUUCCGAGUGUAGCGGUGAAAUGCGUAGAUAU
This 328-nucleotide ribosomal RNA is filed under the name uncultured Ethanoligenens sp. Its description in RNAcentral is "bacterial SSU rRNA". It matches the Rfam family "Bacterial small subunit ribosomal RNA", at positions 355 to 697 of the family's 1533-position model. Lineage: Bacteria; Bacillati; Bacillota; Clostridia; Eubacteriales; Oscillospiraceae. The record is from RNAcentral.